RNAcentral lists this ribosomal RNA (433 nucleotides) under uncultured bacterium. Its description in RNAcentral is "partial 16S ribosomal RNA". It matches the Rfam family "Bacterial small subunit ribosomal RNA", at positions 29 to 507 of the family's 1533-position model. The record is from RNAcentral.
AACGAACGCUGGCGGCAUGCCUAACACAUGCAAGUCGAACGGGAACGCCGGGUCUUGUGGCGCUCGGGGAGGUAACGAGGGGGAAGCAUCCCUUAGGUUACCUAUAACUCCCCUUAAGAGAUGCUAAUACCGGUGAAUGUCAUUCGAGCAAAGGUUUAUCGCUUUUGGAUGGGCCCGCGUUGGUUUAGCUGGUUGGUAGGGUAAAAGCCUACCAAGGCGACGAUCCUUAGCUGGUCUGAGAGGAUGACCAGCCACACUGGGACUGAGACACGGCCCAGACUCCUACGGGAGGCAGCAGUGGGGAAUAUUAGACAAUGGGCGAAAGCCUGAUCCAGCAAUGCCGCGUGAGUGAUGAAGGCCUUAGUGUUGUAAAUCUCUUUUACCCGGGAUGAUAAUGACAGUAACGGGAGAAUAAGCUCCGGCUAACUCCGUG